RNAcentral lists this transfer RNA (69 nucleotides) under Atelopus varius. RNAcentral describes it as "tRNA-Val". It matches the Rfam family "tRNA". From Rfam's summary of the family: Transfer RNA (tRNA) molecules are approximately 80 nucleotides in length. Lineage: Eukaryota; Metazoa; Chordata; Amphibia; Anura; Bufonidae. The record is from RNAcentral.
CGAAAUGUAGCUUAAUCAAAGCAUCUCGCUUACACCGAGAAAAUGUUUACUAAAACAAACCAUAUCGAG